UUAAUUGAAACCAAAAAGAGGUAUAUCAUUGUUAAUGAUACCAUUGAGAAAAACUUCCAAUUAAA
RNAcentral lists this transfer RNA (65 nucleotides) under Bostrichoidea sp. KM-2015. Its description in RNAcentral is "tRNA-Asn". The record is from RNAcentral. RNAcentral also lists the same sequence under 1 other name. Lineage: Eukaryota; Metazoa; Arthropoda; Insecta; Coleoptera.